RNAcentral lists this ribosomal RNA (522 nucleotides) under uncultured archaeon. RNAcentral's name for it is "bacterial SSU rRNA". It matches the Rfam family "Archaeal small subunit ribosomal RNA", at positions 325 to 849 of the family's 1478-position model. The record is from RNAcentral.
ACGGGGUGCAGCAGGCGCGAAAACUGACCAAUGCGCGAAAGCGUGAGCCGGUCAAUCCAAGUGAUGACCCAUCGGUUAUCUUUUGUGAAGUGUACACAGCUUCAAGAAUAAUGAGAGGGCAAGACUGGUGCCAGCCGCCGCGGUAAAACCAGCUCUUAGAGUGGUGGGCAUGAUUAUUUGGCUUAAAGUGAGCGUAGCCGGACAGCGUAAGUCCCCCGUGAAAUGCCAGGUCUUAAGCCUGGCGCGGGCGGGGGAUACUGUGCGUCUUGGGACCGGGAUAGGUAUAAGGUAUGCGCUGGGUAGGGGUGAAAUCCGAUAAUCCAUCGCAGACCACCGGUGGCGAAGGCGUUAUACUGGAACGGGUCCGACGGUGAGGCUCGAAAGCUAGGGUCGCGAGCCGGAUUAGAUACCCGGGUAGUCCUAUGCUGUAAACGAUGCGCACUAAGUGUUAGGUAACGCAAGACGUUAUCUAGUGCCGAAGGAAACCGUUAAGUGCGCCGCCUGGAAGUACGUUCGCAAGAA